AUGACCGACGCCAAGGCAAUCGACGCGCAGUACGGCACUGAAAAGGCGCUGACGUCUCUGGCCGCAGCCCUCGCAGGGGGCAACCUCAUUUACGAAUCCA
Pseudooctadecabacter jejudonensis is the source of this 100-nucleotide regulatory RNA element. It matches the Rfam family "Pyrrolysine insertion sequence mttB". The record is from Rfam. Lineage: Bacteria; Pseudomonadati; Pseudomonadota; Alphaproteobacteria; Rhodobacterales; Paracoccaceae.